This 285-nucleotide ribosomal RNA is filed under the name uncultured Thermus sp. Its description in RNAcentral is "partial 16S ribosomal RNA". It matches the Rfam family "Bacterial small subunit ribosomal RNA", at positions 1093 to 1374 of the family's 1533-position model. Lineage: Bacteria; Thermotogati; Deinococcota; Deinococci; Thermales; Thermaceae. The record is from RNAcentral.
CGAGCGCAACCCCGCCGUUAGUUGCCAGCGGUUCGGCCGGGCACUCUAACGGGACUGCCCGCGAAAGCGGGAGGAAGGAGGGGACGACGUCUGGUCAGCAUGGCCCUUACGGCCUGGGCGACACACGUGCUACAAUGCCCACUACAAAGCGAUGCCACCCGGCAACGGGGAGCUAAUCGCAAAAAGGUGGGCCCAGUUCGGAUUGGGGUCUGCAACCCGACCCCAUGAAGCCGGAAUCGCUAGUAAUCGCGGAUCAGCCAUGCCGCGUCGAUACGUUCCGGCCUU